ACGUUUCUAGCUUCGCCACUGGCUGCACACCAUCAUCAACAACAAGCACCGACUCAACUCAACGCGUCUCAUCACUGACACGGACGCGCUACCUCCAUUCAACCAACCGAUCUUGCACACAUCACCGACGACAUGAAUCUUCACGUGAUUUAACCUGCACGCAGAGAUCCAUCGAAUUCAUCAUACUCAGAGCUAGAGGAACACGAACUCAAAUCAAUGACGUCGACAAAGACGAAGCAAGAGAGGAGAAGAUAGGAGUGAGCAUCGUAUCUGAGUCUUCUCAUCUACGUUGGAAAUAUAUAAAGAGUAUGCACAAUUCAGCGCUAGAAGCACUGACUCAGAAGGUUCAAGAUUGGAACAUCAGAACAUGCUCUCGCAAGACAUCAGAAGAUGGUCAAGCAGAAUCAGAACAUGGUCUAUGAAGCAUCAGAAGAACAUGAGAUCCGAAGCAGAAGCACUGAAGUUCUUAUGGUAUCACGCUCAAGCACUUCAAAGUCAGAAGACAAGAAGAUGCUCUGCACAAAGCUGUUUGACUCUAAUUAUUCAAACGUUCUAUCUACAAACAUCAGAUCAGAAGCAACUACAAGAUGACAGGCUACGCUAACUGACAAAAGGAACGUUAGAAACUACAAAAGGCAAAGUUAGUAAAAGUAGCAAAAGUAAGGCUCGAGGUAGUUGACAAAAGAGUGAAACAUUAAAUGCAAAGUUGUACGGAACACGCAACGCAUUAAAUGCUCCCAACGGUCAUCUUCUCAAAACGGCUAUAAAUAUGAAGUUCUGAUCAGAA
Long non-coding RNA from Vicia villosa (hairy vetch), 787 nucleotides. RefSeq lists it as uncharacterized. The record is from RefSeq and is a predicted model, not a curated record. Lineage: Eukaryota; Viridiplantae; Streptophyta; Magnoliopsida; Fabales; Fabaceae. The transcript has 2 exons.